Molecule: long non-coding RNA, 3437 nt
Organism: Ictalurus punctatus (channel catfish)
Lineage: Eukaryota; Metazoa; Chordata; Actinopteri; Siluriformes; Ictaluridae
Exons: 10
Source: RefSeq, a predicted model, not a curated record
ACAUGUUUUCACAUCACGGCUACUUUGGUGACAGUUUGUUAGCUAAAUUAUAUAGCAUGAUACAUAUCCCUGCUUGAGUGUGCGAGCAUACUUGACCAAUAAAACUGAUUCUGAAUCUGAUUCAGAAAAAUGGCAGUGAUCCGUACGGAAGCCGAAGGAAUCGACUCAUAUUGAAGAGCUAAGCCAAAGGAUUCGGUUCACUUAAAAGAGCCAGUGCUUUCCAUCAUUGAAGGAAGUGAAGUGCGCGGUGAAAAAGCAUCAUAAUGGACGCUACAGUGGCAUGUAAUAAUUGUGGCUUACCGUACACGUUGUCUGAGGGUGAGGUUGUGGGGAGGCUGCCCCAUGUGCUCUUCUGUGUGGAGUGUCUCUGGUCUCUGGAGUGUCCUCAGGACUCCAACUCUGUCCCCUCAGUCAGCUGUCCCGAGUGUAGGGUGAGCACUGUUCACAACUCCUGUCCAUGCAGCCAUCACUCCCUUACUGCGCUACAGCAUGUCAACCAGCUUUCACAACUCUUUUUAGGGAAAGUAGCUAAAGCAUGCUCAAUUUGUCACCAGAUGACACCAUAGACUAAUUUUUUCUAAUUACCUAUGAUAUGGCAAUGAAUAUUACUAACUAGUUUUAAAGAGAAAGAGAGGCAGAUAGGGUGCCGAUACUUGUAGAGUUGCAUAGAUAUAUCAUGAACAUGCACAUUUUUUAAACGUGUCUACAAAUGAAGAAGGCAGGCAAAAAGAAGUCGUGAAAGACGGUUUUUGCUAUGUGGGCCAAUCUCAGCUGAAAGCAGGUGUACUUGCGGCAGGUCCAUACUCUGUGUAGCGGUGUGUAUCUGCUUUUUCGAGUUUGUUAAGUCACAGACGGGCCACAGCUAAAAUUAAGGAGCUCAGCCGCCUGGAAAACACUUUUGACGGUUAAAUCAGUUAGGAUACUCGAGGCUGCAGUCAUUCUUCGUUUUCAAGAGGAAUCAUUUCAGCUGAAGAAGCCAUGCUGAGGGAGGUGUUAACUAAAUUAGAGAUGGUGCUGGACCAACAAACCACUGAGAUUGCUUCAACUACAGGAGGUCCAGGUGCAGCCUUUGGAUAUUGAUGAAGAUUUACUGCCCCUGCAAGACCUUCCUCAACUGUGUAGUCUGAAGCGAAGGAUGCAACAGAGCCCAGAUUAGAAGCAAAAUCUGUUCAUAGAAACCUCUUUACGGCUAAUGCUGCAGAGAUGGAGGUCGAGAGGACCAUGAAGAGGUGGCUCCAGCUGGCAUCAGAUCAAGAGUGUGGGUGCAAGAGAAGUCUUUUGCAAAAGGAAGCUGGGUGGGUACACAGUUGCGGUCGGAAGUUCACAUACCCCUUGCUGAAUCUACAAAAUAUUAAUGCUCUUAACAAAAUAACAUUGAUCCUGUGCAAUCGUUGGGAACUACAUUGUGCGAAAUGUCCGCGUCGCUUCAACAAAGGGUAAGGUGCACACACAGUUUUUCUUUUGCUUGUGUCCUUGAUGUCGCUGAGCAGCUACCAGGAAUCCUGAAGAAGGACGAGUGCAUUGGAGCAGUCGUGCCACAUGCGGGGGCAAACAUCAGGCUGCGGCAGACGGAGGUUCUGAAGAGGGACUUCGCCAGCCUGAUCGAGACGGUACGAGGCAGAUCACCCACCGCGAAGAUCAUCGUCUCUGGACCUCUUCCCUCAUACAGAUGUGGAGCUGAAAAGUUCAGUAGACUUCUAGCAUUAAAUGAUUGGUUAGUUUCUUGGUGUAAUUAACAGGAAUCUGCUGUUUGUUAAUAACUGGAAUCUGUUCUGGGAGCGUCCUAGGUUGUUUCGUCCUGAUGGCCUGCACUCCAGCAGCUUCGGAGCGGAACUGCUGUCAGACAACAUCUCCAAGACACUACAAACCAAGUGACUGCCUACCGUCAAAUUAUUCGUAAACAUGGAAUGAACUUCCACUGUUAUGCUGAUGAUACAGAGCUGUAUGUUUGCAACUGAACAAUAACAACAAUAAACAACAACUGAAGAAUAGCGAAAAACUCCAACUGUUUUCGUGCUUACUUGAAGACGAUGAGGCGGAGCAGCAUCGGAGAGACAGUUCGCUCCAUUCUCCAAAGAAUCGGGGAGAACAGUCUGUGGUGUAUGUUUUCGUUGAAAGCGCCAAAAGGUGGGAAGCUGGCUUUGACUGAUCAGGAUGAAGUGUAUGGCCUUGUACACUAUAUUGCCGAACAAGCACAUGGACGUGAAUAUACUGUUGCCGGUUGCAGAGAGGCCAUCGGCAGGUACCUAAAAAAAUGCCCCAGGCAGGAAAAGUGGCAAGAAACACAUUAUGAGUGUUUAUGAUGAAGCAGAGCUACAUGGGAUCUCUAGUGCGUCCUGCAAGAAUUGGGCCUUAGUCCAGUUCAGAUUCAAUUUUGUAAUUCCUCUCCCUCGCGUGACAGCCUCCAAACAGUACAAUUCUAAUGAGCUUGAAUAUACGGAGAAUUCCAUUGGGUUUGAUGUCUGACUAAUAAUUUUUUUUCUUUGAUUAGCAAUACAUAGGAACUAUAUCUGGCUAUUUUGUGUGUUACAAUAUUGAAUGUCAUUUUUCAGCUUUUAACUUCGUCUGCAUUUACUAAAAUUCAUGCAUUUUUAUUAAAAAUAUUCAUGGAGUUUGUUAAACUAUAUAAUUGUUGUCUGUCAUUCAUAAGAUUCGUCAUGCGAAUUCCAUAGACCAGAAUCUAACAUCCACAUUAUUGAAGCUUGUUUAAUUACGGAUUUGUUAAAGCAUGCGGUAUGUUAUAUGCUUUAAUUGUAUCUUGCCACAUAAUGUUGGAAAAUGAGUACUUGUGUACUUUUCAAGAAAUUAGAUACAAAAAGGAUUACACAUAUCUGAUUAGAAAAAAUAGCAUCAUAAUGUGUGUAACUUUGUGUAUAAAUAUUGUGUAGUGUAUUUACACCACAUUAUGAGGUGUGUAUACAGGCAAUUACAAAAUACUAUGUGCAUGUUGUUGAGUCUUUCUGGAAUUCUAUAUCCCUGUUUUAUAAAGCACUGAAUGGUUUGGGUCCAAUAUAUAUUUCUGAUCUACUGGUACCUUAUGAACCAUCCAGACCUCUGAGGUCAUCUGGAACAGGUCUGCUUUCUGUUCUCAGAGUCAAAACUAAAUGUGGAGAAGCAGCAUUUAGUUUUUAUUCUCCACAUAUCUGGAACAAACUCCCAGAAAACUGCAGAUCUGCCAAAACGGUCAGUUCUUUUAAAUCAAGACUGAAGAAUUUUCUUUUUGCUGCUGCUUUUAAAUCAAUCAUCAAGGUAUUUUAAUUAAUAUCUUAUGCUGCACUGUAACCUUUUUAAUCUUUUUUUAAAUUUUAUAUAAUGUGUAUGAACUCUUUUUAAUGUGUUCUUUUUAAAUGUUGCUUUGUGUUGCUUUUAUGUAAAGCACUUUGAAUUACACUGUUGCUGAAAAUGUGCUAUACAAAUAAAUUUGCCUUGCCUUUGUG